AACCUUUAGCUAGAACAAAUAUUAAAGGCAACGCCUGCCCAGUGAACAAUUAAACGGCCGCGGUACCCUAACCGUGCAAAGGUAGCGUAAUCAUUUGUCUAUUAAUUGUAGACCCGUAUGAAAGGCAUAAUGAGAGUCUGCCUGUCUCUUAUAAUAAAUCAAUUAAACUGAUCUCCUAGUAAAAAAGCUAGAAUACCAACAUAAGACCAGAAGACCCUGUGAAGCUUAAACUAAACUAUUAAACCCUAUAAUACCUACUUUCGGUUGGGGCGACCUUGGAAAAAAAAAGAACUUCCAAAUACAUGACCAUAACUCAUCCAUCAGGCCAACAAGCCUAACACGACCCAGUACAACUGACAACUGAAACAAGUUACUCCAGGGAUAACAGCGCUAUCUUCUUCAAGAGUCCAUAUCAAAAAGAAGGUUUACGACCUCGAUGUUGGAUCAGGACAUCCUAAUGGUGCAGCCGCUAUUAAGGGUUCGUUUGUUCAACGAUUAACAGUCCU
This 506-nucleotide ribosomal RNA is filed under the name Imantodes cenchoa (blunthead tree snake). RNAcentral's name for it is "partial 16S ribosomal RNA". It matches the Rfam family "Bacterial large subunit ribosomal RNA", at positions 1816 to 2597 of the family's 2925-position model. Lineage: Eukaryota; Metazoa; Chordata; Lepidosauria; Squamata; Dipsadidae. The record is from RNAcentral.